Molecule: long non-coding RNA, 311 nt
Filed under: Panax ginseng (ginseng)
Lineage: Eukaryota; Viridiplantae; Streptophyta; Magnoliopsida; Apiales; Araliaceae
Description: long non-coding RNA (PGIN_LNC005040)
Source: RNAcentral
AGUUCUCAUAAAAUUAAAAUUUUGUAAAUUAAACAAAAACUAAAUUAUUACUCCUAGAGGCACCACCGACAACCAGAUUCCAAACUACUGCAAAUUAUCCUUAAUAAGCGCAUAUAUGUAAAAAUACAAGCAAUCUCUCUCUCCUCUGUGUUCAUACAUGAACGAACACCAUUACGUCCAGUACUAUUUGUAUGUACAACUUACUAGUAUUCAAAAACGAAGAAAACAGAUUUCAUUUUUAUUUUGUUUUUAAAUUUUGUUACAAAAAGGACAAAGUAGAAAUAUAUAUAUAUAUAUAUAUAUAUAUAUNN